RNAcentral lists this ribosomal RNA (253 nucleotides) under uncultured bacterium. Its description in RNAcentral is "partial 16S ribosomal RNA". It matches the Rfam family "Bacterial small subunit ribosomal RNA", at positions 524 to 776 of the family's 1533-position model. The record is from RNAcentral.
UACGUAGGGUGCAGGCGUUAAUCGGAAUUACUGGGCGUAAAGCGUGCGCAGGCGGUUUCUUAAGUCCGAUGUGAAAGCCCCGGGCUUAACCUGGGAACUGCGUUUGAAACUGGGAGACUUGAGUGUGGCAGAGGGGGGUGGAAUUCCACGUGUAGCAGUGAAAUGCGUAGAUAUGUGGAGGAACACCGAUGGCGAAGGCAGCCCCCUGGGUUAACACUGACGCUCAUGCACGAAAGCGUGGGGAGCAAACAGG